Molecule: non-coding RNA, 325 nt
Organism: Pelobates cultripes (western spadefoot toad)
Lineage: Eukaryota; Metazoa; Chordata; Amphibia; Anura; Pelobatidae
Source: the annotation of a GenBank genome assembly
AUAAGGCAACCCUUUCUGUCCAAAGAUACAGUGAUUUCAUUUUGUACUCCCAAAAUACUGCUAUACGUGAUGUUAUGAAUUUGAUUGACAGCUGAUAACUGAACUACAGCUCCCAGAAACCUUUGCUGUGCCCAUACUAAGGAACAUAACAUACAUUUCUAAAUCUCAGAUUCAGUUCCACCAUAUGGCCAUAUUGUGUUAAGCCCACCACUACUUCACAGAAUCCCAAUAUUAGUGGGUCCUAUACUAAUUGCAAUGUGGGAGACAAAUCAAUAGCGCUAAAUAAUCUGAAGUGUAUUCAAAUAAUCUGUUUGUAAGAGCGCUG